CUCCUCUGGUUGCUGAACCCCCAAAUCCCACCCUUGGUUGAUCCCUAAACACUUUCCCCAAAUCCCGGCCCGUUUGCACACUUAGAGGAAGUUUAGGGAGAAAUCUGAAUGGAUUUUAGCAAGUUUUAUCCUGGUUUUUAGAGCUACUUCUCAUUCUCUUCAUUCCCUCAUUCCUCCCUUCAGAGCUUUUUACACUCCUCUGGUUGCUGAACCCCAAAAUCCCA
This 224-nucleotide long non-coding RNA is filed under the name Zonotrichia albicollis (white-throated sparrow). Its description in RNAcentral is "lncRNA (ENSZALG00000000969.1)". The record is from RNAcentral. Lineage: Eukaryota; Metazoa; Chordata; Aves; Passeriformes; Passerellidae.